UACGUAGGGUGCAAGCGUUGUCCGGAAUUAUUGGGCGUAAAGAGCUCGUAGGCGGUUUGUCGCGUCUGCUGUGAAAACCCGAGGCUCAACCUCGGGCCUGCAGUGGGUACGGGCAGACUAGAGUGUGGUAGGGGAGACUGGAAUUCCUGGUGUAGCGGUGGAAUGCGCAGAUAUCAGGAGGGAACACCAAUGGCGAAGGCAGGUC
Molecule: ribosomal RNA, 205 nt
Filed under: uncultured bacterium
Lineage: Bacteria
Description: partial 16S ribosomal RNA
Rfam family: Bacterial small subunit ribosomal RNA
Source: RNAcentral